Molecule: ribosomal RNA, 244 nt
Filed under: uncultured Staphylococcus sp.
Lineage: Bacteria; Bacillati; Bacillota; Bacilli; Caryophanales; Staphylococcaceae
Description: partial 16S ribosomal RNA
Rfam family: Bacterial small subunit ribosomal RNA
Source: RNAcentral
CGGCGGACGGGUGAGUAACGCGUGGAUAACCUACCUAUAAGACUGGGAUAACUUCGGGAAACCGGAGCUAAUACCGGAUAAUAUAUUGAACCGCAUGGUUCAAUAGUGAAAGACGGUUUUGCUGUCACUUAUAGAUGGAUCCGCGCCGCAUUAGCUAGUUGGUAAGGUAACGGCUUACCAAGGCAACGAUGCGUAGCCGACCUGAGAGGGUGGUCGGCCACACUGGAACUGAGACACGGUCCAG